RNAcentral lists this ribosomal RNA (383 nucleotides) under uncultured bacterium. Its description in RNAcentral is "bacterial SSU rRNA". It matches the Rfam family "Bacterial small subunit ribosomal RNA", at positions 30 to 416 of the family's 1533-position model. The record is from RNAcentral.
AUUGAACGCUGGCGGCAUGCCUUACACAUGCAAGUCGAACGGUAGAGGGGGGCAACCCCCUUGAGAGUGGCGAACGGGUGAGUAAUAUAUCGGAACGUGCCCAGUCGUGGGGAUAACGUAGCGAAAGUUACGCUAAUACCGCAUACGAUCUAAGGAUGAAAGCGGGGGAUCGCAAGACCUCGCGCGAUUGGAGCGGCCGAUAUCAGAUUAGGUAGUUGGUGAGGUAAAGGCUCACCAAGCCGACGAUCUGUAGCUGGUCUGAGAGGACGACCAGCCACACUGGGACUGAGACACGGCCCAGACUCCUACGGGAGGCAGCAGUGGGGAAUUUUGGACAAUGGGCGCAAGCCUGAUCCAGCAAUGCCGCGUGCAGGAUGAAGGCC